Molecule: long non-coding RNA, 2599 nt
Organism: Monodelphis domestica (gray short-tailed opossum)
Lineage: Eukaryota; Metazoa; Chordata; Mammalia; Didelphimorphia; Didelphidae
Source: RefSeq, a predicted model, not a curated record
CUUCUAGCUUUAAACAAGAAAACCUCUCCUUCCCUCCUCCUCUCCCCCCACCUCCAGGAUUAAUGAAGCAUUUGACAAGAGUUGUCAAAGGGCAUCCAUCUGUGGAGAAGGGGAGAGGGUGGGGGUCACCAGCAGCGCAGCCUGUUUCCCCAGGGGUACGGCUCAGGGCGAAAGUGCGCAUUCAGCCCUGGGCUCCAGCUGAGGGCCCCGAGGCUGUUAGCUGGAUUGCUGAGGAGCUGCGACAAUCCUGCAGGUGUUAGAAAUAGCACGGGAUUUGGAAUCCCGGGCUCUGGGUUCAAAUAGUGGCUGAGCUCAGCCUUCCUCCUCAGCAAAUGGGGGGUCCCCGACUUCAGGAUCACUAAGGCCCCUUACAGCUCGCACUGUCUGUGCUCUGAGGGUUUAAAAUCCCCUCCAGCCAGUCAGCUCAGUCAAAUGAGGGCUGGGGCGGAGUGGGUGCUAAAAGGACCUUUUCCAGGCGCGCCACUGCAAGGCCACACAAUCCGCCUCCCCUCCGCUCGGAAAUUGCCCUGAAGUUAGUCCUCAGGGGAAAGAAUUUAGUUCCUCACCCCACCCCUCCCAGCCUCCAGCCCCUCCCUCCACAACCUACUCCCCCACUCCCCACUGCACUUCAGGGAAAGAUGCUUCAGUGGGGGACUGGGAAGGAAUCUGACUUGGAUGGGCUGGCGGGUGCCCGGCGGGGGUGCCUUUGGGGACGUCCUCCACCCCUUGUGUGUGUGUGUGUGUGUGUGUAAGUGAACAUCUGUAGAGGGAUGCUGCUGCAUGAGGUGCCUGUGCAUGUGUCAGCGUGGAAAUGGGUGUGCGUGUCUGUUGAGGGGCACCCACACGUCAUGUCCCUUUAAGGAACGCCCCCCCCCCAUUCCGAGACUGCGGUUGACUGGUUUCCAUGGCGACAGAGCUACGGAGAGCUCAGCAGAGAGAGGAGCGAGGAGCACUUUCCCUCUUAUUUAAAUAAUUCCGAAACAAGGAGGAGGCAAGGCUCCAUCUAGGAGCCAGGGAAUUCCUCAUUCUUCAUUGGAGCUGACACUUUCCUAACAUGUCUGAGGGACAACAGAAAAUGGGCUGAUUGACCCAGGUUCUCAUCCAGAGCUUUCAUCCCAACCACCCAAUCGAAGCCAUUUAACAGGUCACCCCAAGAAGAGAAAGGAAGGAGAGGGAGGAAGUGUGGGGAUGCCCCAACAAUGGAGCCUUUUGUCUACCCUGGUGUCAGAUUCCUAAAGGGUUUGAAUGGGAAGACUUCUGCUGACCCGGACACACCAAGCACCCAAGCAGUCUUCGGGCCUGUGGCCACCAACUCAGCAAGAUUCCCAAAGAAUUCAGCCACGGCCUCACAAGGACACGACCAAAAGCCCACACAGCCACGAAAAAAUUCUCAGAGUUCAUCCUCUACAAAUCUCCAGCCUCGGCCACCAUACAGCCAAUGGAACUACAACCCUGUGGUGGCAGGCUCGGGCAAUCAACGCAGCUCUCAUACUAGUACUUCCAGCCUGAGCAACGGCCCGUCCAACGCGCCAGUCCUGCCAAUUCAGGGCCCUCAACUUCUGUACAGCUGCCAGCACUGUGAAACAUACUUUGCAGAUAAUAUCCUUUAUACUAUUCAUAUGGGAUGCCAUGGGUAUGAAAACCCUUUUCAGUGUAACAUAUGUGGGCAAAAAUGCAGAAACAAGUAUGAUUUUGCCUGUCAUUUUGUAAGAGGGCAACAUCACAAGAUCUGAUACCAAACAAUCCCAUCAUGCUUUUCGGUUUGGGUCUUGCUUUCUAAAAUGUCACGUUUUAUCGUCCUUUAUAAGUUGCCUACUCAUUUAAGAGAUCCUUUUCUUUCGUUUGUUGUUUCUAAGAUGCAAAUCUGACAGUGGAGACCAUUUUUUCCUGUCUGGUCAGCAUCAUUUAGGUAUUAGUUAGCGGUAAGGUAGGUAGAUUUUCAUUUAGUUUGAAGCCUUUUCGUUUGUUGUUUCUAAGAUGCAAUCUGACAGUGGAGACCAUUUUUUCUUGUCUGGUCAGAGCCGUGCAUUUAUGUGGCGGUGACGAGGUAGAGAGGUAUUCAUUUCCUUUGAAGUCUUUGCUUUCCUUUUCGAUAAGUGCAUGAGAAUCGGAGUGCGCUUCUAUAUCUUGGGAGCCUCCAUCGAAAUGCCCCACUUUUCAGACUCCUGAAUACUUUGUAAUGCGCAGAGGAUUUUUCUGCUUGGAGAAGGGGUUUGGCACCUUGGAACUUCUGCCAUGUUCUAAAAUGGGGACUUAAAAAUGUUUGACUAAACGGAACCCCUUCCAACGUUUAGUGGAAGGGAUAUUGGAGAACACCCCUUACCCGAUAACUUCAUCCUCGUGUAGUGAGUUCAAGCAAUUGUACAGUUAAACUAAUAAUGGGUUUAACUGGUUUCAGCUCAGGAAUUUCCUUUUUGCCAAGGAAAAAAAUGAAAAGCAGUUUCCGAUGUUACAAAAAAAGUACAAUUGUUAUUUUUAAAAUUUCAGAUACUGUUUUCUUGAAGAAAAAAAAAAGAAUCCUAGUAUGUAAAGUUAUUUGAAAAAUAUAUUGUUUACUUUUAUGAUAUGAAAUAAAUAACAUUCGAUAUUUGAAAAAAAA